Molecule: ribosomal RNA, 497 nt
Filed under: uncultured bacterium
Lineage: Bacteria
Description: partial 16S ribosomal RNA
Rfam family: Bacterial small subunit ribosomal RNA
Source: RNAcentral
GACGAACGCUGGCGGCGUGCCUAAUACAUGCAAGUAGAACGCUGAAGAGAGGAGCUUGCUCUUCUUGGAUGAGUUGCGAACGGGUGAGUAACGCGUAGGUAACCUGCCUGGUAGCGGGGGAUAACUAUUGGAAACGAUAGCUAAUACCGCAUAAAAUGGAUUAUCGCAUGAUAAUCCAUUGAAAGGUGCAAAUGCAUCACUACCAGAUGGACCUGCGUUGUAUUAGCUAGUUGGUGGGGUAACGGCUCACCAAGGCGACGAUACAUAGCCGACCUGAGAGGGUGCUCGGCCACACUGGGACUGAGACACGGCCCAGUCUCCUACGGGAGGCAGCAGUAGGGAAUCUUCGGCAAUGGACGGAAGUCUGACCGAGCAACGCCGCGUGAGUGAAGAAUGUUUUCGGAUCGUAAAGCUCUGUUGUAAGAGAAGAACGAGUGUGAGAGUGGAAAGUUCACACUGUGACGGUAUCUUACCAGAAAGGGACGGCUAACUACGUG